UAAGACGGGCCCUGGACGUCCCCACAAGCACAAAGGCUUGGUCCUGACUUUCUUAUCAAUUUUAGCUAAAUUUACACAUGCAAGUAUCCGCGCCCCUGUGAAGUAUGCCCCACCGCUACCCCUCUCGGGUAACAAGGAGCCGGCAUCAGGCACUUCCCCGAAUGCCCACGACGCCCUGCCUAGCCACGCCCCCACGGGACCUCAGCAGUGAUAAACAUUAAGCCAUAUGCGAAAGCUUGACUUAGUUAUAGCUAAGAGGGCCGGUAAAACUCGUGCCAGCCACCGCGGUUAUACGAGGGGCCCAAGUUGAUGAGCUGCCGGCGUAUGGCGUGGGUAGGACAAGACUCACACUAAGGCCAAACACCUUCAAGGCUGUAAUACGCACCCGAAGACAGGAAGUCCAACCACGAAAGUGGCUUUAUAUAGUUUCAACCCACGAAAGCUAGGGAACAAACGGGGAUUAGAGACCCUCUUAUGCCUAGCCGUAAACAUUGAUGGCCCAGUAACUCCGCCAUCCGCCUGGGAACUACGAGCAAGCGCUUAAAACCCAAAGGACCUGGCGGUGCUUUAGACCCCCCUAGAGGAGCCUGUUCUGGAACCGAUACCCCCCGUUCAACCUCACCCUUCCUUGUCCGUCCAGCCUAUAUACCGCCGUCGUCAGCCUACCCCCUGAGGGGCCUAAAGUAGACAAGACUGGUAAUACCCAAAACGACAGGUCGAGGUGUAGCGCAUGGAAGGGGAAGAAAUGGGCUACAUUCGCUACAAUAGCGAAUCACGAAUGAUGAGCUGAAACGCACAUCUGAAGGAGGAUUUAGCAGUAAGCGGGAAGUAGAGCGUCCCGCUGAAAAUGGCCCUGAAGCACGUACAUACCGCCCGUCACUCUCCCCAAAAACAUACCCGAAUAUUAAAUAAAACGAUAUACUAGAGAGGGGAGGUAAGUCGUAACAUGGUAAGUGUACCGGAAGGUGCGCUUGGAAAAAU
Molecule: non-coding RNA, 981 nt
Filed under: Furcina osimae
Lineage: Eukaryota; Metazoa; Chordata; Actinopteri; Perciformes; Cottidae
Description: partial 12S rRNA
Rfam family: Bacterial small subunit ribosomal RNA
Source: RNAcentral